This 253-nucleotide ribosomal RNA is filed under the name uncultured bacterium. RNAcentral describes it as "partial 16S ribosomal RNA". It matches the Rfam family "Bacterial small subunit ribosomal RNA", at positions 524 to 776 of the family's 1533-position model. The record is from RNAcentral.
UACGAAGGGGGCUAGCGUUGCUCGGAAUCACUGGGCGUAAAGGGUGCGUAGGCGGGCCUUUAAGUCAGGGGUGAAAUCCUGGAGCUCAACUCCAGAACUGCCUUUGAUACUGAAGAUCUUGAGUUCGGGAGAGGUGAGUGGAACUGCGAGUGUAGAGGCGAAAUUCGUAGAUAUUCGCAAGAACACCAGUGGCGAAGGCGGCUCACUGGCCCGAUACUGACGCUGAGGCACGAAAGCGUGGGGAGCAAACAGG